RNAcentral lists this long non-coding RNA (811 nucleotides) under Varroa destructor (honeybee mite). Its description in RNAcentral is "uncharacterized LOC111247583, transcript variant X2". Lineage: Eukaryota; Metazoa; Arthropoda; Arachnida; Mesostigmata; Varroidae. The record is from RNAcentral.
AAAAUGGCCAUUAAAUGCAAGCCAGGUUCCUUUUCACCUAAUCUUUCGCUAAGCUUAUAUUUUUCGUCGAAACAACGAUUCUGACAUAAUUGUAGUUUUUGCGGAAGUGCUGUCUGCUGUGGAAGACUUCAAUUAGUUGGCACCGAAUAAUAAUUGAGAGAAAUAUAAAAAAGCAUUGUUUUUCUGAGCUCUUUGGCUGGUUCAAGCACAGUAUUUAAAUAGCCUGUUCUUAAGUAGAAAAGCAGGAUGUGCACGAUCCUUUUGAAGGGCUGAUCAUUUCGCGUAGACUACUGAAAGAGGAACAGUCCAGCGAGAACGAGAAAUUUCACCUAGGAUAAAAUGAUCCUGAGAAGAAGUCGUACCCUCCCUGGUAGAUCACACACUGUAGCGGGAUCAGACAUCAGGUCGCCUACGAACUGUCAAAUAUCCCUCGUGAAACGAAAAGAGGAAGUAUAAGGCAAGUGUCAUCAAGUCGAGUUUAUAUGUACUAUGAUUAUUACGACUUUCACAUUCGAAUCUCCGCUUCAACGAAUAGAACCCGUGAACUUCACAGGCCGAAAGAUACAAAAGAUCUCUAGCCAUCACGAACCUGGAGGCUAUGAGGAGAGAACCCUCUAUUGAAAAUUAUUUGCAGGAAUAAUCAAUUUUUCAUCGACAUAUUGUUCAAUAGGUAUUCGGUGGCUUUCUAUCUGAGGAAAUUAAGUCAAUACUAGCGGGCCACAUAUAGGCUUACUUGCUUACCAAACUAGUGAAUUCAUGUUACCUAAACAUAUGCGCGUAAACGUUAAUUUUCAACUAACCUGACGGCCAA